This 493-nucleotide ribosomal RNA is filed under the name uncultured bacterium. RNAcentral's name for it is "bacterial SSU rRNA". It matches the Rfam family "Bacterial small subunit ribosomal RNA", at positions 15 to 507 of the family's 1533-position model. The record is from RNAcentral.
GAUCCUGGCUCAGGAUGAACGCUAGCGGCAGGCUUAACACAUGCAAGUCGAGGGGCAGCACGUCUUCGGAUGGUGGCGACCGGCGCACGGGUGCGUAACGCGUAUAGAACCUACCUUUUACAGGGGAAUAGCCCAGAGAAAUUUGGAUUAAUGCCCCAUAGUAUUAUUGAAUGGCAUCAUUUAAUAAUUAAACAUUUAUGGGUAAAAGAUGGCUAUGCGUUCUAUUAGCUAGUAGGUAAGGUAACGGCUUACCUAAGCAACGAUAGAUAGGGGUCCUGAGAGGGAGAUCCCCCACACUGGUACUGAGACACGGACCAGACUCCUACGGGAGGCAGCAGUGAGGAAUAUUGGACAAUGGGCGAGAGCCUGAUCCAGCCAUGCCGCGUGCAGGAAGACGAUCCUAUGGAUUGUAAACUGCUUUUAUACAGGAAGAAACACUCGGACGUGUCCGAGCUUGACGGUACUGUAUGAAUAAGCACCGGCUAACUCCGUG